Molecule: ribosomal RNA, 108 nt
Filed under: Saezia sanguinis
Lineage: Bacteria; Pseudomonadati; Pseudomonadota; Betaproteobacteria; Burkholderiales; Saeziaceae
Source: RNAcentral
UGAUGACCAUAGCAAGGUGGCACCACUCCUUCCCAUCCCGAACAGGACAGUGAAACGCCUUAGCGCCGAUGAUAGUGCCCAAUUGCCGGGUGUGAAAGUAGGACAUCG